CAGGGAUCAAACUCAAGACCUCGGCCUUGCAAGCAAGCCUUUUACUGACUGAGAUACCUCCUCAGCCCUCAAUUUUAAAUUAAUUUGAGAACAGAUCAAGCAUGAAAAGAUGGAAGAACUUACUUCAGUGGAAUUAGGGCCAGGGCACUUGACUGUGUGCCCAGCCUGGGACUUGCUAUGGAGUCACAUAGGCAGGCCCCCACUUGGAUCUUAGACACGUCUUUAACUGGGAUAAAACCCAAGGCCUUGCACAGGCCAGGCAAGUACUCGACCUCUUCUCAGGUGCCUAAUUAAAAGACUUCCUGGGUAAGAUGUUGCCGUCCUGAGGAAGAUGGCCAAAUUCAAAAUAAGCAGAUCCACCAGACUUACGGGGAAUACAGGUGAGAGUACAGGAGUGGAGAUGACUCAAGGACAUUUACAUCACCAAAGGCCACUUCAUGAAUGACAGCUCAUGAAAGCUGGAACACAAUUCACAACUUGAAGGCAGCUCAACAGGGCCAGAUGAGGGAGCACCACCUGUAAUCAGCCCUGGAAUAAGAUGGAAACUGGAGGCAGGAGAAUCUGCCUGAAAACUAUGGGCCAGCCUCCUGCAGUAUUCUAUACAGCAGUGGAAACAGGAAGAGAGACUCAAAAGAGCAGGGAAGAUGGCAACCGGCUUCUGAAAGCUCUCUGACCUUCAUGUGCUUACACACAAGGGAGAGGUCUCUGUUACACCCAUAUCACAAAGGAAAUGAAGCUACUGUUGUUGGCUUCCAGUGGACUACAGCUAGGGGAACAUCCUUGGGGACCAAAAUCCACACACCCUGAAAUGUCAACAUCAACAAAACAUUGG
Molecule: long non-coding RNA, 832 nt
Filed under: Cricetulus griseus (Chinese hamster)
Lineage: Eukaryota; Metazoa; Chordata; Mammalia; Rodentia; Cricetidae
Description: lncRNA (ENSCGRG00015029423.1)
Source: RNAcentral